Molecule: microRNA precursor, 59 nt
Filed under: Pristionchus pacificus
Lineage: Eukaryota; Metazoa; Nematoda; Chromadorea; Rhabditida; Neodiplogasteridae
Description: microRNA ppc-mir-8304b precursor
Source: miRBase by way of RNAcentral
CAUGGGAUCCUCGAGAUUAAUUGCGAAGAUGAAUGCGAUUGUCUCGUCGAUUCCGAGGA